This 332-nucleotide ribosomal RNA is filed under the name uncultured bacterium. Its description in RNAcentral is "bacterial SSU rRNA". It matches the Rfam family "Bacterial small subunit ribosomal RNA", at positions 568 to 898 of the family's 1533-position model. The record is from RNAcentral.
CACGCAGGCGGUCGUGUAAGUUUGGGGUUACAGCUCCCGGCUCAACUGGGAGAGCGCCUUGAAGACUGCAGGACUUGAGGGCCAGAGAGGGACACAGAGUUCCGGGUGUAGUGGUGAAAUGCGUAGAUAUCCGGAGGAAUACCAAAGGCGAAGGCAGUGUCCUGGCUGGUGACUGACGCUGAGGUGCGAAAGCUAGGGGAGCGAACGGGAUUAGAUACCCCGGUAGUCCUAGCCGUAAACGAUGACCACUAGGUGUGGGAGGUAUCGACCCCUUCCGUGCCGUAGCAAACGUGAUAAGUGGUCCGCCUGGGGAGUACGGUCGCAAGAUUAAA